GUAUAGUGCAAGCGUUAUCCGGAUUUAUUGGGUUUAAAGGGAGCGUAGGUGGAUUGUUAAGUCAGUUGUGAAAGUUUGCGGCUCAACCGUAAAAUUGCAGUUGAUACUGGAUAUCUUGAGUGCAGUUGAGGCAGGCGGAAUUCGUGGUGUAGCGGUGAAAUGCUUAGAUAUCACGAAGAACUCCGAUUGCGAAGGCAGCCUGCUAAGCUGCAACUGACAUUGAGGCUCGAAAGUGUGGGUAUCAAACAGGAUUAGAUACCCUGGUAGUCCACACGGUAAACGAUGAAUACUCGCUGUUUGCGAUAUACGGCAAGCGGCCAAGCGAAAGCGUUAAGUAUUCCACCUGGGGAGU
RNAcentral lists this ribosomal RNA (352 nucleotides) under uncultured bacterium. RNAcentral describes it as "bacterial SSU rRNA". It matches the Rfam family "Bacterial small subunit ribosomal RNA", at positions 527 to 881 of the family's 1533-position model. The record is from RNAcentral.